This 445-nucleotide ribosomal RNA is filed under the name uncultured bacterium. RNAcentral describes it as "bacterial SSU rRNA". It matches the Rfam family "Bacterial small subunit ribosomal RNA", at positions 330 to 792 of the family's 1533-position model. The record is from RNAcentral.
UCCAGACUCCUACGGGAGGCAGCAGUGGGGAAUAUUGGGCAAUGGAGGAAACUCUGACCCAGCAACGCCGCGUGAAGGAUGAAGGUUUUCGGAUUGUAAACUUCUGUUGCGAGGGAUGAAGAAUGACGGUACCUCGUGAGGAAGCCCCGGCAAACUACGUGCCAGCAGCCGCGGUAAUACGGAGGAUGCGAGCGUUAUCCGGAUUUAUUGGGUUUAAAGGGUGCGUAGGCGGAAUGCCAAGUCAGCGGUAAAAUCGGGGGGCUCAACCUCGCUCCGCCGUUGAAACUGGCGUUCUUGAGUGGGCGAGAAGUAUGCGGAAUGCGUGGUGUAGCGGUGAAAUGCAUAGAUAUCACGCAGAACUCCGAUUGCGAAGGCAGCAUACCGGCGCCCAACUGACGCUGAAGCACGAAAGCGUGGGUAUCGAACAGGAUUAGAUACCCUAGUA